AGUGAACGCUGGCGGUAGGCCUAACACAUGCAAGUCGAACGGCAGCACAGUAAGAGCUUGCUCUUACGGGUGGCGAGUGGCGGACGGGUGAGGAAUACAUCGUAAUCUACUUUUUCGUGGGGGAUAACGUAGGGAAACUUACGCUAAUACCGCAUACGACCUACGGUUGAAAGCAGGGGAUCUUCGGACCUUGCGCGAUUGAAUGAGCCGAUGUCGGAUUAGCUAGUUGGCGGGGUAAAGGCCCACCAAGGCGACGAUCCGUAGCUGGUCUGAGAGGAUGGUCAGCCACACUGGAACUGAGACACGGUCCAGACUCCUACGGGAGGCAGCAGUGGGGAAUAUUGGACAAUGGGCGGAAACCUGAUCCAGCCAUACCGCGUGGGUGAAGAAGGCCUUCGGGUUGUAAAGCCCUUUUGUUGGGAAAGAAAAGCAGCAGGUUAAUACCCAGCUGUUCUGACGGUACCCAAAGAAUAAGCACCGGCUAACUUCGUG
Molecule: ribosomal RNA, 492 nt
Filed under: uncultured bacterium
Lineage: Bacteria
Description: partial 16S ribosomal RNA
Rfam family: Bacterial small subunit ribosomal RNA
Source: RNAcentral